RNAcentral lists this ribosomal RNA (445 nucleotides) under uncultured bacterium. RNAcentral describes it as "bacterial SSU rRNA". It matches the Rfam family "Bacterial small subunit ribosomal RNA", at positions 330 to 792 of the family's 1533-position model. The record is from RNAcentral.
ACCAGACUCCUACGGGAGGCAGCAGUGGGGAAUAUUGCACAAUGGGGGAAACCCUGAUGCAGCGACGCCGCGUGAGUGAAGAAGUAUUUCGGUAUGUAAAGCUCUAUCAGCAGGGAAGAUAAUGACGGUACCUGACUAAGAAGCCCCGGCUAACUACGUGCCAGCAGCCGCGGUAAUACGUAGGUGGCAAGCGUUGUCCGGAAUUACUGGGUGUAAAGGGAGCGUAGACGGCAAUACAAGUCGGAAGUGAAAUACCCGGGCUUAACCUGGGAACUGCUUUGGAAACUGUAUGGCUGGAGUGCUGGAGAGGUAAGCGGAAUUCCUAGUGUAGCGGCGAAAUGCGUAGAUAUUAGGAGGAACACCAGUGGCGAAGGCGGCUUACUGGACAGUAACUGACGUUGAGGCUCGAAAGCGUGGGGAGCAAACAGGAUUAGAUACCCCAGUA